Molecule: long non-coding RNA, 227 nt
Filed under: Elaeis guineensis (African oil palm)
Lineage: Eukaryota; Viridiplantae; Streptophyta; Magnoliopsida; Arecales; Arecaceae
Description: long non-coding RNA (EGUI_LNC070844)
Source: RNAcentral
CAUUGCUUAACCAAAUUGAGCCACUUAACAAUCAUAUUAUUAAUUAAUUAUUUCUCUAAUUUAUCAAUCAUUAGUAAAUUAUUUAUUGCAAUCUUUGCAUAGGAUUAAUCAUCAAUCAAAUUGAUAAUUAAAUCCUUCAAUGAUUCAUAAUCAUCAAUCAGCUAUUUGAUCAGACAGGUACUUCUAUGUAUGUGACUCCAUAGGUUCAAAUCUAAAUUGAUAGUAUA